RNAcentral lists this transfer RNA (64 nucleotides) under Lethocerus indicus. RNAcentral describes it as "tRNA-Ala". It matches the Rfam family "tRNA". Rfam says of the family: Transfer RNA (tRNA) molecules are approximately 80 nucleotides in length. Their secondary structure includes four short double-helical elements and three loops (D, anti-codon, and T loops). Further hydrogen bonds mediate the characteristic L-shaped molecular structure. tRNAs have two regions of fundamental functional importance: the anti-codon, which is responsible for specific mRNA codon recognition, and the 3' end, to which the tRNAs corresponding amino acid is attached (by aminoacyl-tRNA synthetases). tRNAs cope with the degeneracy of the genetic code in two manners: having more than one tRNA (with a specific anti-codon) for a particular amino acid; and 'wobble' base-pairing, i.e. permitting non-standard base-pairing at the 3rd anti-codon position. The record is from RNAcentral. Lineage: Eukaryota; Metazoa; Arthropoda; Insecta; Hemiptera; Belostomatidae.
GGGGUUGUAGUUAAAAAUAACAUUUAAUUUGCAAUUAAAAAGUACUUUAUAUAAGUCUUCCUCA